AACAGACGAGGAGCUUGCUCCUCUGACGUUAGCGGCGGACGGGUGAGUAACACGUGGAUAACCUACCUAUAAGACUGGGAUAACUUCGGGAAACCGGAGCUAAUACCGGAUAAUAUAUUGAACCGCAUGGUUCAAUAGUGAAAGACGGUUUUGCUGUCACUUAUAGAUGGAUCCGCGCCGCAUUAGCUAGUUGGUAAGGUAACGGCUUACCAAGGCAACGAUGCGUAGCCGACCUGAGAGGGUGAUCGGCCACACUGGAACUGAGACACGGUCCAGACUCCUACGGGAGGCAGCAGUAGGGAAUCUUCCGCAAUGGGCGAAAGCCUGACGGAGCAACGCCGCGUGAGUGAUGAAGGUCUUCGGAUCGUAAAACUCUGUUAUUAGGGAAGAACAAAUGUGUAAGUAACUAUGCACGUCUUGACGGUACCUAAUCAGAAAGCCACGGCUAACUACGUGCCAGCAGCCGCGGUAAUACGUAGGUGGCAAGCGUUAUCCGGAAUUAUUGGGCGUAAAGCGCGCGUAGGCGGUUUUUUAAGUCUGAUGUGAAAGCCCACGGCUCAACCGUGGAGGGUCAUUGGAAACUGGAAAACUUGAGUGCAGAAGAGGAAAGUGGAAUUCCAUGUGUAGCGGUGAAAUGCGCAGAGAUAUGGAGGAACACCAGUGGCGAAGGCGACUUUCUGGUCUGUAACUGACGCUGAUGUGCGAAAAGCGUGGGGAUCAAACAGGAUUAGAUACCCUGGUAGUCCACGCCGUAAACGAUGAGUGCUAAGUGUUAGGGGGUUUCCGCCCCUUAGUGCUGCAGCUAACGCAUUAAGCACUCCGCCUGGGGGAGUACGACCGCAAGGUUGAAACUCAAAGGAAUUGACGGGGACCCGCACAAGCGGUGGAGCAUGUGGUUUAAUUCGAAGCAACGCGAAGAACCUUACCAAAUCUUGACAUCCUCUGACCCCUCUAGAGAUAGAGUUUUCCCCUUCGGGGGACAGAGUGACAGGUGGUGCAUGGUUGUCGUCAGCUCGUGUCGUGAGAUGUUGGGUUAAGUCCCGCAACGAGCGCAACCCUUAAGCUUAGUUGCCAUCAUUAAGUUGGGCACUCUAAGUUGACUGCCGGUGACAAACCGGAGGAAGGUGGGGAUGACGUCAAAUCAUCAUGCCCCUUAUGAUUUGGGCUACACACGUGCUACAAUGGACAAUACA
RNAcentral lists this ribosomal RNA (1193 nucleotides) under Staphylococcus epidermidis. RNAcentral describes it as "bacterial SSU rRNA". It matches the Rfam family "Bacterial small subunit ribosomal RNA", at positions 68 to 1241 of the family's 1533-position model. The record is from RNAcentral. Lineage: Bacteria; Bacillati; Bacillota; Bacilli; Caryophanales; Staphylococcaceae.